UUCAAAUGACGGGAGUCGAACCCGGGCCGCCUGGGUGAGAGCCAGGAAUCCUGACCGCUAGACCACAUGGGA
RNAcentral lists this transfer RNA (72 nucleotides) under Araneus ventricosus. RNAcentral describes it as "tRNA-Glu". The record is from RNAcentral. Lineage: Eukaryota; Metazoa; Arthropoda; Arachnida; Araneae; Araneidae.